This 430-nucleotide long non-coding RNA is filed under the name Cyanistes caeruleus (blue tit). Its description in RNAcentral is "lncRNA (ENSCCEG00000020610.1)". The record is from RNAcentral. Lineage: Eukaryota; Metazoa; Chordata; Aves; Passeriformes; Paridae.
AUGGGGGAAAAAAAAAAGCCAUAUUAUUCAAGAAACAAACAAAUAAACCAAAUUCACAAUGACCCUGGUCCACAGGGAACCCCAGACUGCCUCAUUUUCUAUCGUAACUCACAAACCUUGAAAAACAUCUUGGCCUGGAAAGCUCUCAGCACUGCAGGCUUUGGAGAAGGUCACAGCCACCAACUUCUUGUCUUCAUCCUGGACUUCAUCCUUCAUGCUGGAGCUGGAGGAAGCUCAAUGAUAAUUUAUAUCAGGAGCUAUAAAUCCCCAGACCACAGGAAAUGGCAUCAUCAAUUUCCAUCAAUUUUACUGCUGCACAAAUAAUGUGCUGCUAUAGUUCUUCCACAGGUCAGUUCCUGCAUGAGGUACAUUGACUGCAGGGAUGUAAACUGUAAAUAAACAGUGGCAUAAUUUAUCUUCUCUGAUAUUA